AUCCGCGUUCCGGGUUUCCAGCUCUCCGGCUGGGGCGACUUCCGGCUGCGCGCUUCCGAGUCUCACGGUCAGGUUUUGGAGUCCUACUUGGCGCUUCUCGGGCGCUCGGCUCGGGACUGAUGAACCAAUAAGUACUUCAGGUGGAGACCGAGUCGGUGGACGAGGGAAAGUUCGAAUAUUUUUCAGGGAGUAAAUAUUUUCCCAUAAAAGCCUUUGUCUCCUCCCGCCCGGCGGAGCUUUAGACUUCACCCGAACUCCUCCCCGAAGUGCGUCAUUUUAGAGUGUAAAGCAAACAUUAGCAGCCCUGCGUGACCGUAACCCCCGAGUUAAGAAAGGGCGGGUUCAGAAAGCAGCACCCUGUAGAAAGCCACGGACGCAAACCAGAAAGAGCUAACAGCAAAGGCGGUUUGCACCGGCUGAGCGCGCUACGACCUAGCUAUGCGACCCUUGAAGGCACGCGAGUUCAUCUAGAGAGAAAGGAGAGUAGGAAGAAUACAAAAGGAUGCUCUUCCAACCGAGUGGGAACGAGGAAAUGAAAAAACCUAGGAAUAUAAUUCUUCCGCGAGAUGCUGACCGCUUUUACAACACAAGGAGCCGUGAAGUGUGUCCACACACGCCCUGUCUCCAAUACACCACCAGAAUGAACUUUGGGCUGGGCGCGUCAUGACAGCUUCCAUUGUGGAAAGAAGCAGCUGCUGUCUCCAACAACAAAAGGGGGCUUACGUAUUUUUCUGAUACUACCAAACUUAGACCUUCACUGUCGCAGCUUCUGCCCCAACCUUGUCAUUACUAUCCCACCUCAGAUAACAGCACCUUUGCCUCAAACCUCAUUCCCUAAAGCCCACAUGCUGUUCUCGGGGCCACCGAAUUAUAGACUGAGUCCUUUGGUGGUCCCCAAGCUCAGAACUACCCUCAGGCCACUGUGCGGGUCUCCUCUGCUUCUAUGUGUGUGAGAGGAAUUGAGUGGUUGUUCCUCGAUUCCACCGGUGCCCCCACGAUAUCCAUGUUGGGAAUGUGUUUAUUUGUUCACCGUCCCACUUCCCACGGACGCAGGGGCCUGGUGUCUGCAAUUUCCACCUCUAUAACCCGGGCCUAGAGAACCGAAGACGAAGCUAACUAGAAAUUGCGCGGUCCUGGUGGGCGGACGACAUAGGCUCUAGAUCUGAAUUUAGAGUGGCAGACUUUCGGCGCUGAAGUCUGAAGUUUUCCAGAUACAUUUAACCCGCUCUUUCACAGAGCAAGAAAAGCCUAAGACGGAGAACGGCUUCCACGGUGGUGGCCUGGGCUACUCCGUAACGCUGAACCCACGGUGACUUGUGGGCUUUUUUUUCCCUCCAGUCCCCGCCACUGUCAUACUCUGGGCAAAGUAGACACAGGAAAAACAAAAACGGAAACGGUAUCGGGAUUGGGGACAAGUGAUGGCCCAGAGCGCUGACGGGGCGUACGCACAGCCCGUGCACCAACGCCUCUUUAUUUUGACACGUCACCGCGCCAGGCCGCCUUUUGGUUGGUAGGCCCCUACUUCCGGAUCCGGUCUUCUCGGAGCAACGCUUCCCCUGCGGUUCCCUAGGUUACCGGGGGCGGGGCGGGUCGAUCCAGGGUUGGGGAGCUGCUGGUUGGCGACCACUGUUGGAAGAAGAGUUCCCUUCCAAACUAGUAUAAAGGGAAAGUUCCUCUGCGUUAUCCCCACGGACGGUGAUGCUCUUUUCCUCGGACUACUGAUAACUCUGGCUGGAGCAAAACCCGAGGAAUGUGAUUUUCUCCCAUGCUGCACACUGCAGUUGUCAAUUCGGAGAAGCUGAGGGAAGGGUACUUUUAUCAAUAAUGGAUACGAAGUUUCAGUACAGAAUGAUGGAAAGUGUGUGGGAGCGAUGAAGUGGUGGCUGCACAAUUCAGCGUACCAUGUCUCUGAGCUUUGCACUCAAAAUGGUUAAACUCAAAUUUUAUUAUGUAUAGUUUACCACAGUUAAAUAAAAAUCCAGAAUUCCUCUUUUCA
Long non-coding RNA from Arvicola amphibius (Eurasian water vole), 1996 nucleotides. RefSeq lists it as uncharacterized. NCBI's taxonomy places the organism in Eukaryota, Metazoa, Chordata, Mammalia, Rodentia, Cricetidae. The transcript is spliced from 2 exons. The record is from RefSeq and is a predicted model, not a curated record.